Molecule: long non-coding RNA, 1652 nt
Filed under: Medicago truncatula (barrel medic)
Lineage: Eukaryota; Viridiplantae; Streptophyta; Magnoliopsida; Fabales; Fabaceae
Description: lncRNA gene45154
Source: RNAcentral
CUAGCUUGGAAUGAAUUUCAUCAUAUCAUAGGAAUUAUAUUGCAUAUAGAAUAAAAGAUCAUUAAUUAAGCACAGAAAGUGGUUAAUUAGGCAAUGUAGUAGAGGGGAUCAGGGAGCUUGAAAGUCCUUUCACCAGUAUUGGUUCCAAGAAUAUCACUCCAUUGAUCUCCAAUGUUUCCAACAAUUCUGUAUCCUUCUUCCUCCAAUUUCUUUCUCUCAGAUGAUUUGUAUGUAACUGCUGUUUUACCAUGAUAUAUGGUUGUAUUCCUGCAACCAAAAAAAUUUAGUAUAUUUUUUAAUGUACAUACAAAUUAAUACUAUUUUUUUUAAGUUUAAUAUAAUAUGCUAGUUUAAGUCGUUGAUUAUUUUAGUUAUAUAAUAUGUAGUGCUGGAUUCAUGACAAUGACUAAAUUGUGAAAAAAGUUAAGCUAUAUGAUCACGAAUGAUUAGUUUAUUGAAUUAUUAUCAUUCUUUUAAUUAAUUAAUGAAACGUAAAAUUAAACUACUAUUAAUGGAUCUAUCAUCUCUAGCUAGUUGGCUCAUGUUAAUUCAAUUUUAUUAAAUAAAAUAAAAUUAGAAAACUUACUUGAGAAUUAACUUCUCCCAUUUCUUAAAGCCAGCACGUCUCAAGUUCUUAGCUGUAAUUUCUUUCUGUUUGAGUGGUCUGCCUGUUAAGAACGCAAUCUUGAUACCAAGAGACAACAAUUUAUUGUACAAUUUUUUAGAUUCAGGAAGUGCUGGUGCUGUUCCAAGAUCAACCCAUUGAUUAAAUAAUGUAUCAUUGUAUGGUUCCACCCUAUCAAUUCAUUAUAUAUAUGUGUUAAAUAGCAUAUAUAUACAAAAAGUAAAACAAAAUGCAAAGUUAGAGUAUGAAAACUAAAGAUAAAGAUGAUCGAUCAUACCCAAAUCCGUGUUUAGCAUAAUAUGGAAGAUUUGAUAGUGAAGUUUCAUCAAUAUCAAAAACCCAUAUGUCUUUACCAGUUGUUAUAUUAAGAGUCUUUGCAUAGAAAUAACCUUCACGGUUAACUGCUUUAGAGUCAGCUCUAUAUUGAUCACCUAACAUAUAGUUCCCAAUAUAUUUCUCACAUUCUUUUGGUAUAGUUUUCCAAUUUAUGAUGUUGUGUGCUUCAAUACCAAGUCUCCAACUAGCACAUGAUACUUCUUCAAUGUAAUGGCCACCUGAGCCAGAUUUCACUCGAAGUGGGAAAAUUUGGUUAUUUGAACCAUGAUCAUCAUCAUGGUUUAGAAUGUUACCAUGACAUGUAACUAAGAGUGUAACAAAAAAGAAAAUGAGGAUCUUCUUCAUUCUUAAUAUAGUUGUUCACUUAAUUGCUUAUUGUGUUGUGGAGGGUUUUGUUCUUUAUAUAGACAUUUUCUCUAGUUAAGAGAAACAUGGUUGUCAAUAUAAUAAUAGGACAAUGAAAAAUGUGUACAAAUUAUUUAUUAUAUAUUUCUUAUUCUUGAUUGAAAUGAGGAAUUAAAUAUUUUAAGACUACUCCUUAGUCCUUAGUAUGAAUCGCCCUAUCGUAAAAGGGUUUAAAGGUAAAUCAAACCUUUCAAUUUAAUUGGGUAUUACCGAUUUAAAAAAUUUUGUGGUCAAAAGUUGGAACCCAUAUGUUAUGCAUGGAUGAUAUAUAUAUAUAUAAAUGAAA